This 301-nucleotide long non-coding RNA is filed under the name Physcomitrium patens. Its description in RNAcentral is "long non-coding RNA (PPAT_LNC003346)". Lineage: Eukaryota; Viridiplantae; Streptophyta; Bryopsida; Funariales; Funariaceae. The record is from RNAcentral.
UGAGUAGGGUUAGCAUUUGAUUUAGGAUCUAAAGUUUGAUUUAACGAUUGAUCUAGGAUUUGAUUUAAGUUUUAUGGUUUUUCUAAGAUUUGAUGUAGGAUUUGAUUUUGGAUUUAGAAUUUGUAUAGAGAUUGAUUUAAGGUUUAAUUUAGGAUCUAAGAUUUGAUCCAGGAUUUGGUUUAGGAUCUAAAGUUUGAUCUAGGAUUUGGUUUAGGAUUUGUUUAAGAUUUGAUUGAAGUCUAUUAUAGUUUCAACUAGGAUUAAAUUAAAACUUAGUUGAGAUUUAUUUAAGAUAUAUUUG